RNAcentral lists this ribosomal RNA (254 nucleotides) under uncultured bacterium. RNAcentral describes it as "partial 16S ribosomal RNA". It matches the Rfam family "Bacterial small subunit ribosomal RNA", at positions 524 to 777 of the family's 1533-position model. The record is from RNAcentral.
UACAGAGGAGCCAAGCGUUGUCCGGAUUGACUGGGCGUAAAGCGCACGCAGGCGGAUGCGCGCGUGGGGUGUGAAAUCUGGCCGCUUAACGGCCAGGCGCCAUCCCAUACGGCGCGUCUGGAGUGAUGCAGAGGUCGGUGGAAUUGCCGGUGUAGUGGUGAAAUGCGUAGAUAUCUGGAGGAAUACCGGUGGCGAAGGCGGCAUCCUGGACCAUUACUGACGCUGAAUCGCGAAAGCUAGGGGAGCAAACGGGG